UCAAGUAACCAACAAAUUUUAGCAGCUAGUUCCCUGCAACUUUCACAUGGUCGCCCACUGAAGCUACGCAAAGCUGCGCCCGGUCAGUACCUGGAUGGAAGACCACAUGGGAAAGCUAGGUUGCUACCAGAA
RNAcentral lists this ribosomal RNA (132 nucleotides) under Danio rerio (zebrafish). Lineage: Eukaryota; Metazoa; Chordata; Actinopteri; Cypriniformes; Danionidae. The record is from RNAcentral.